ACUCUUUUCCACCUCAAUUCCAUCAUUUCCCUCAAUCUCCUCCACUUCAUUCCCCUCCCCUUUAAUCUCCGUCUCAUCCUGUCCGAAAUCAAAUGCGAUGAUUUGAGAGUGCUUUUUGAGGGACUUAGUAGACGAGGAUGAUUUAAGGUCCUUGUGGAACUGAUUCAAGUUGGCAAAAGAGGUGGCGGCGCGGCGGAGAUAGACGGAGACGGCGUGAGAAGCUCCGUUCUCCAUAGAGACGAAAUUGGAGAGGAUUCUGGAAGCUGCAGCUAAAGAGACUGGCUUUGAUGAUACUACGUGUGCUGAUACUGAUUUCAUUUUGAUCUUAAUUGAGUAAUUGAAUUUUCUAGGGUUUUGCAGACUCAAUUGAAAAGUGAAGUCGGGUCUAGGGUUUAUAAGCGUUUAGCGUAAACACACGGAGUAUCAGCUGUUGUUCUGUUUUUAUUUGAGUGAAUAAAAAUUAUUAUUUGAUAAUAUAUUUGUAAAAGAUUCAAGUCACAUCCAAAAUGUUCACAAUCCUGAUUAAAUUCGGGAGCUUUUUAAAAGUUGGAUCAAAUCCAGAAUUAGAAAAUAAAUGGAAAUCUGAUAAUUAAAUCUAAUAAUCUGGAAUUCUGGAUAAUUCACAGGUCAUAAACUUCAAAAAAUAAUCAAUUUUGUUCAAUUAAUACUUAUAUUUAUGUUUAUAAACCGGACUAAACUCUCUAUUAUUCUCGAUAUGACACUGAAAAGUUAUAAUAUUAUUAAUAAUAAAGAUUAUAAUUAGAAUAUGAUUAAAAUAUUAAAUACAUCUCAUAUUUACUAUAUAUUAUCUACAUCUCAAAUUGUAGAGUUUUACCUCGGUACCUCCUCCCGAUAUAUCAAAAGUAUUGUUAUAUAAAAUAUGACGAACGGUAUAAUUUAUAUGUAAUAUUAAGGUUUCGUUUGAUACUAUGUUACGGACAAGAACGAUAGUUUUUUUGAAAAGAAAUGUGGGUGAAAAUUUGUUAAGUUAAUUUAAAAGUAAUUUUUCCCAAUGUAGUUUUAGCUCAUUCCAUACUUUAUAGAAAUAUUAUUUUUAGCUUUGCAGAAGCUGUCACAUAAUUAACUAUUAAACUUUAUCAAAAAAAUCUAUUUUAAUAUUAUAACUGAAAAUAUGUAAAUAUCAAAAAUUAGCAACCAUGGUAUAUCAAUGUUUUAUCAUCAUUUAUUCUAAUAGUAUGGAAAUGACCCACAAAUAAUGACUAAAAUAACAUAAUUGGGAGAAAUGANACAGAUCUUUUAGUUAAAAGUGUACCACAUUUAUAAAGACUAAUUCUCUACAAGAGGAGGAAAAAUGAUUUUAGCGAGUAAAUGUGAAAAAUUGCACACAUGCAUGCAUAGCAAAAUAGCCACAUUCAUUGACAAAGUUCUACAAGAAAAGGCAAAAUUUAGUAAGUGUACCUCGGAACACAAAUAUGGAACAGAUACUGCUGAAAAAACAAAUCCAGCAACAAUGUAAUACUAUGAAGGUGGUUUUCCCUUUAUGUGAGCUGGUAUGAGCCUUCUGUGGGUUGCAUGUUUUAUAUAGAACUCCAGAGUCUUAGAAUUACGAAGAACCUUAACUAGGGCCUGAUCUCCAGUAUAUUUUUGAGAAACAAAGUAACUGAAACCUAUGCGUUCUCCAUCCCUGAAAAGAACUGAAUACUUGAGUCAUUAGGGAACUAAGAAACAAGUAUUUUCUUGAGAAUGGACAGACAGAUAUUUUAAUUGCAUUAAUGACAUUUCACAUCAAGAUAUAGAAGCAGAGCAAGAAAUCUGCAAAAUGGCAAAAAAGUUUUAAUUGUCGGCAUUCUCAAAGGUUGCAGACUAGUCAGGUUAACUUUUUUGGGCACAUUUUACAAAAUUACAAUGAAAAGAUUAAGAACGUUAUCCAGCUCAAAUACUGCAUUGAAUUUCAACUUGCGAUAUACCUCAACAACUGGUCAUAGCAGUAUUUCUAUUUCUUAAGUUGAAUAUAAUGUUUAGCUCGGGAAUUUCGGUAUUCCAAUGUUCAAAUGAAUCAUGAUGUUAAAACGGACACUUCAUCUUGCAACAACAAUUCAAGUUUAGGAUGAUAUAAAACAAAUAAAAGGCCUUGCGUCAACUUGUUCACAGAUGGUAAACUAGUACAUAAUCAAGAAACUCGAAAACUAAAAAAAAAUACCAAGAAGAUAAGAGUGAUUACACCAUCACAAUCAGAGACUAAGUACAUAACUAACAUAGAAAAUCUCAUUAUAUUUUUCUCCCUCGCACACCACCAUAUAGCAAAAUUGCCCAACUAUCCCAAAGAACUUCCAUCGGAUAACAUGAUUAAUAAAAAUAACAACAGUAUAUAAAAACACACAUUAUCACCGCGCCUAUCAAUCGCCUUCCGUCUUCCUCCUCUUCUUCUUACUCAAUCCACUCUGUUCCGCAGACUCCCCCGAAAAAUUGCCCUCAAUCUCCUCGCCUUUCCGUUUCUUUUUCUUCUUAUUGACCUCACUCUUUUCCACCUCAAUUCCAUCAUUUCCCUCAAUCUCCUCCACUUCAUUCCCCUCCCCUUUAAUCUCCGUCUCAUCCUGUCCGAAAUCAAAUGCGAUGAUUUGAGAGUGCUUUUUGAGGGACUUAGUAGACGAGGAUGAUUUAAGGUCCUUGUGGAACUGAUUCAAGUUGGCAAAAGAGGUGGCGGCGCGGCGGAGAUAGACGGAGACGGCGUGAGAAGCUCCGUUCUCCAUAGAGACGAAAUUGGAGAGGAUUCUGGAAGCUGCAGCUAAAGAGACUGGCUUUGAUGAUACUACGUGUGCUGAUACUGAUUUCAUUUUGAUCUUAAUUGAGUAAUUGAAUUUUCUAGGGUUUUGCAGACUCAAUUGAAAAGUGAAGUCGGGUCUAGGGUUUAUAAGCGUUUAGCGUAAACACACGGAGUAUCAGCUGUUG
This 2910-nucleotide long non-coding RNA is filed under the name Daucus carota (carrot). RNAcentral's name for it is "long non-coding RNA (DCAR_LNC002301)". The record is from RNAcentral. Lineage: Eukaryota; Viridiplantae; Streptophyta; Magnoliopsida; Apiales; Apiaceae.